Long non-coding RNA from Mercurialis annua (annual mercury), 290 nucleotides. RefSeq lists it as uncharacterized. The transcript has 3 exons. NCBI's taxonomy places the organism in Eukaryota, Viridiplantae, Streptophyta, Magnoliopsida, Malpighiales, Euphorbiaceae. The record is from RefSeq and is a predicted model, not a curated record.
GCGAUUUGGGAUACGGCUGCGGCGAAAAGGAAGUCCGCCAUCGCUCGGGCUAACAAGAUGAGUGAGCCGUCAGGGCCCGGGACUGGACCGGUGCGCCACACGGCAGGAUCGCGCUCAGCUGUGAAGCAUAUGACCGUUUUGAGUUAGGAGCUCGGUCGUCCUGCGAUAUAUGCUGAGUUGCAUGUUCGUAUGCACUCGACAAAGGACGAUCGGAACAAGUUUGUCGACAAGAGGUCGCAGGAUAAGCAUGAGCGUUUCCUUGCAGAGCGUGCAGCUGCGACCCAGUCCUC